CUGCAGAAUUUCUUCUGCGUAAAACCCUAACAAAAUUUUGAUCGUCGACCAUGAAGCGAGUGUGGAGAUUCUCUUCAGACGCAACGCGAGUUCAGUUGUUGCUCUUCCAACCCCACCUCAAUGGAUUCUCCAAGCCCAAACCCAUUCCCUCCUUCUCCUCCGCGCUAUCUUAUCGCCAACUCAAGACGGUGUCAAACUUGUUCUCUGACAUCAUUCCAUUGUUCACCGUCAAGGCUAGUUCUUCAAUCAAAGAGGACCUCACCAACAACGUCACGAUUCUCAGGGAUGAGCUAAUUCGGGAAUCCUCCGACUCUGUUCGGGUUCAGAGCAUUUUGGACGAUAAUUAUGACCUUCUCAAUCGCCGCUAUCCCAAGGGAUAUGCUUUCUUCGAACUUAUGUCAUGCUUGGAUUCAAAUCCUUCCCUCGCUCUUCAGGUGUUUAAUUGGAGAAGGAAAAGAUGUAAUGCUGAAAACCCUAUGGAUGCGAGUGAGUACUCAAAGGGUAUAAUUACUGCAGGUAGAUCUGGGAAUAUUAAUUAUGCUGUUAAGCUCUUUAAGGAGGCUGCUACAAAAGGUCUCAAGACGACCGGCACUUACAAUGCGCUAAUGAGUGCCUUCUCGUUCAAUGAUUUUGCUGAUAGCUGUCAGACCUUGUUUUGUGAUCUGAAGAGGGAUCCAACUUGCGAUCCUUCUAUUGUCACAUACAACAUUCUCAUAUCUAGUUUUGGUAGCUUGAUGCUGGUUGAUCACAUGGAAGCAACAUUCUGUGAGAUACGAAAGUUAGACCUUGCCAUGAACAUCAGCACUUAUAAUAACUUAAUUGCUGGAUAUAUCACAGCGUGGAUGUGGGAUGAUACGGAAAAGGUGUUUCAAAUGUUGAAGUCGAGCCCUGUCCAGCCUAACAUGAAAACCUACCUGCUAAUGCUUCGCGGGUAUGCAAAUUCAGGUAAUCUGGAAAAGAUGGAAGAGAUGUAUUCCCUUGUAAGGGAUCAUGUAAAUGAAAAUGAAAUUCCACUAAUCAGAUGUAUGAUAUGUGCCUAUUGUAGAAGUUCUGACUCAGAUAAAGUUAAGAAGAUAGAGUUGCUAUUGAAGUUUAUUCCAGAAAAGGAGUACAGACCAUGGUUAAAUGUGCUGAUGAUUAAACUCUAUGCCAAGGAAGACUUGUUAGAGAAGAUGGAGAAUGCUAUAAAUGAGGCAUUUGAACAUGGAACAUCCAUUAGAACCAAGAUUAUCAUGAGAUGCAUUAUUGCAACUUAUUAUCGGUGCAAUGCUGUAGAAAAGCUAGAAAAUUUUGUGAGACGAGCUGAAAUCUCUGGGUGGAGUACCUGCCGCUCCUUAUAUCAUUGUAAACUAGUCAUGUAUGGGUCACAGAAGCCCUUACAUGAAUUGUAUCGUGUCCUUGAGGAGAUGGAAAAUGUCAAGCUUGCUUGUACAAAGAAAACAUUAUGGAUAAUGCACAAAGCGUAUACCAACCGUGGUCAGAGUUCCAUGGUUUUGAAAACACUGGGUCUAAUGUUCAAACAUGGUUAUCAAUUUCCUUUGGAUGCAUUUCCGUCGUAAAGUAUAUAUAUAUCCUGGAGUGAGAUUAUGUCUCUAGUGAUAUUGUUGAUACGAAGUCUAAAGGUGGAACCGCAAACUUCCAACCAGCACAUAGACCCUGAUGUUCCAGGAUCUACCAUUCAAGUUGUAUCUGGAACAUUUUCCAGGGUUUGCUCUCUCUCGAAGCUGAAUUACAAAACCAAAAUGGCCACAGUGCAUUUUACUCCGGGAAAGAGAACUUAGUACACAUAGAUGAUACUGAAAUGCUGAAAUUGCUCCACAGACAAAUUGAUUCUUAGGUUGAGCUUGGGUUUGUACUCUGCACACAUCAAUGUUCCCAUUUAGGGGACUACGUGACCCCAAAGUGGGCACACCUUAUCGAGAUGUCUUCUCGAGUGCUUGUGAAUCCAUGAGCAAUUCACUGAAUCCAUUUUCUGUUAAGUAAUGUGCGAUGUCUUCUUGAGUGCUUGUGAAUCCAUGAGCAAUUCACUAAAUCCAUUUUCUGUUAAGUAAUUUGCUAUGUCUUCUCAAGUGCAUGUGAAUCUAUGAGCAAUUCACUGAAUCUAUUUUCUGUUAAGUAAUUUGCUGUUUGUGAUUCUGUGUUCAGUUUUGGCAUACAAAUUUAUGUUUUCUGCCUUUCAGUUCUAAUGCCUUUAAGUUCCACUUGCUGCUUUAAAUGUUUAUCGCUUAGUUUGUGUUGUUGUGAUAGUGCUUGAGCUUGGUUCAUGUGUGCACACGAUCCUGGUUCCUGUUAGGAAUCUAUAUGAUCCCAAAGUGGGCAUAGCUUUACGGAAUGUCUUCUCGAGUGCAUGAGAACCCUAUUUUAAUCACUAACUCAACUUUUACUUGCACGCUUGUUCUGUAGUAUUUAAAUCUGUUUUUCUCUGUUGCCAUUUUGUUCUUGAUGUUUGAUCCUGCACCAGUUUAUUCAUGCCUUCCCUGCCAUUGCUUAAAUUCCCUGUAGUAGUUAUUUGGUUAAUUCAUGAAUCCCAAUAAUGUUUUUUUUUCUUAGUGCUUUCUGUUCAAGAAUUUGGUAGCAUUUGUCAUUUUCGUUUCUAUGCAUUCUGGAGUAAAGAAAUCUGAUUGGUAGUUUUAUUGGUGCCUCAUUGUAAAAAAAGAAAAAAAAUGUUCCAGAGCAUAUUCUGUUUGCACUGAUGCAGCCUUAAAAUAUCACGUUGGGUUUCCAAUUUGAUACUAUUGCUUGUCUUAACUAGUCACUUGGAAAGCCCAAAUUUUGUUUCCACUCAUGCAGUGCAUUUCUAAUUCUUGAUUUAGCAUUUUGAGUUUAUUUGAAUUCAUGCACGAGCUUUAUAAAGUCAUUCUCCAUUUUCAUAUUGCAUCUACAUUGCAUUUGUAUUUCAAUUCCCUGUGGCUGCAUAACACCUUAAAUGUCCAGUUUUCAUGCAUAUAGUUUGCAUUCAUUUAGGAUUCAUGCAUUCUUUGUAGUUUCUGCAUAAUUAAGAUUUUCUUAGUAGCAUUUUCAUGCAUAUAGAUUGUUUGCAUAGUGGUUAAGGAAUCAAGAUGCAUAGAAAAACCUCGUUUAGCACUUUUCCAAAUCUGAAUUACAUGCAUUAUAAUUCUCCUCAUAAUCUGAUUUUGCUGAUUUAGUUUUGCUGCUGUCAUAAAUUGUUUUACUGCUGUAAUGCUCUGGUUCAUUGAUGUUAUGUGCUGGUUUAAAGUGAUUUUGAAUUCUAAAUGCAUGUGGCUUAGUCUUAUUAGAGUGUGGGCUGACCUUGAUCACAAAGCAAAUUGAUCCGAGUAUUAGUUUUACAAUGACCUAUUCUGCCACUCAGGUUUCAUGUGUAUUAUACAAUGCUGUCACGUGUAUUCUGCAUCAUUCCUGUUUAGAAGAGUGCAUCCGUGAAACAUUUUUGAAUACAUAGCUGGGUUUGUUCUGAUUUUUCCUGCAUAUUUUGAGCCUGUGUGCAUCAUAGUAGUUCAAUUACAAGCUAAAAAUACAGCUAGUAUUUCUCUGGUAUGAUAGUGAAACUUUCUGCAAAUCUGCAUGCACAUAUGAAAAGGGACCAGGCUGUCACUUUUACAGUAGCUACACACAGGUUUUGCAUAUUGGUUUAGUCUUGCUGCUGCAUCAGUUAGAGCAUGAUUCAUUUUUAUGAUUAUUCCUAGAUGGAGCAUAGCAUGUGAUUCUUGUUUUGAUAUGAAGAACACUGCACCUGAAAAUGAGCUGCAUUCCCUUGCCACUGUCAUGCACUGACCAAGCUGUCAUAGAUCAGAUUUCCACUGGCAUUUGGUUUCAUGUGUACUUCCAUCUGCAGUGCACGCACUGCUGAGAUUCUCUGCCACAUAUUAGAUUCAUUCUAUUGAACAUUCUGCAGUACCAAAUUGUGCACUAACUGCUGUCACAGAUUGGUUUAAUGGGGCAAUCUACUUUCAUGCAUAGUUGUAGCUAUUCCACCUGCAUUUCUGGGCCUGUUCAAUCAUCACCAUUUUAUUUCAUGAAAAAGCAUCCAUGCAUCCACAAUGCAUUGCUAUGUCUAAAUUUAACUUGAUGACUCUUUUGCUAUAUGGUGUUGGUUCUCUGCUUUUUUGUUGUCACGUGCUGGUUUAUUGAGGCCACAUUGUGUCUGGGUCUGCAUAGCAUCAUAGACACAUUCUGGUGUGGCUGUGACACUGCUGAAUUGCACCAAUUUAUUGAUAUCAUGUGCUGACUGAAAGUGACCUUCUAUACCACAUCUGCAUUCACUUAUCUUACUGCUGCAAGGUCUUGUUUGUUUGCUACCAUAUAAGACUGGAUUAUGAUGCUAAUUUUGGCCUGCAGUAGCAAUUUAUAAAUCUGAAGCUGUUUGGCUUGUGCUCAUCACGAUAGGAACAUUUAACAUUAGGUACAUGCUGAAAUAGGUUCUACAUAUCAGUUUAGUCUUUUUACUGCAUCAGCUUAGAAUUUCAUUCUUCUUGCCUUCAUUCAACUAGAUACUUCAUUCCAUUUUAAAUUCCGUUUUCAUUCCCAUUUAUUCCUUGCAUUCUGCUUUUCACGUUUUCUUUUCUAUAGACUUAACCCAUGCAUUACAUUCAUGCAUAGUACAAGAUAGUUCGACCAUGCAUCUAGAUUACUUUUAAUUAAUAAAUUAUACACUUUCACUUUUUGAACUUAAAUUCUUUUCCCCUCUUUUCAAGCUUUAAUUUAUUUUUAGCAAGAUUUGAUUAUACAAGCUAAGCUUAACACACACCGAUUCCUUGGAUUAGAUACCAAGGUUUCCCUAUUCUUCAUUAGGGAGAUUUUGGUUUUGUUUACUGCGCGACUAAAACUGAGUCAACAAAAUGGCAGUUGCCGGAGAAAUGGCGACUUGAAUUUUAGUUUGCAUAGUUUAGUCUUGCAUUCAUUUUUGUUUCUUUUAGCAUUCUGUUUUCUUUGCAUAAAAUCUUCCAAUUGAGAUAAUCUUUGUGCAAGUUCUGUGCUUUUUUGGGAAUAAUUGUUUUCUGAAGUUGAUCCAGGUUCAAGAUAGGUGUGAACUUUCAAACUGCUGUACCAGUAUGUAUACCAGAGUUUUUUGAGGAUAUGGUUGUACCAAGUGAAAUGGAAAUGGUUAAUUCUCAGGUAGCCUAUCAAUCUGAAGACACUCAGAGCUCACCAGAUUUAGCAGUCAGCAGUUAUGAUUUCUUGUAUAAAUUGAUCAAGAGGCUACUUAAGUACCAUGAAGUGGCCGGAGAAGAUCCACACAUGCAUUUGAAGGAGUUCCACGUGGUGUGCUCAACAUUUAAACCAACUGAAAUUGCUGAAGAUUGGGUCAAAUUGAAGGCAUUUCCUUUUUCUUUAAGGGACACAGCCAAUGAUUGGUUGUAUUACAAGACUUAUUCAACGCCAAUCACUUCAUGGACUGAAAUGCAGAGAAGUUUUCUGGAGUUCUUCACAGCCUCAAUGGUGUCAUUUAUCAGGAAGCAAAUCUGCACCAUUGAACAAGGACAAUACGAAGAGUUGGAUCACUACUGGGAGAGAUUCAAUAGCCUCUGUAUAGCCUGUCCAAAUCAUCAAAUUUCAGUUCUUGUUUACAGUUUUCAAAUGUUUGAUUGUUUAUGAUUCAAUUGUAUUUUAAGUUUUUUUGCCUUUAAAUUCAGUCCUUUAAAUCCCUUUACAGAUUUCUAUUGUUAUCUCAAUUUCAUGUUUCUGAGUUAGAGAUUUAAGUAUGGGUGGAAUUUGCACAGUUCAAUGUUCUCUCUUGGGAACCAAGUGACCUCAAAGUGGGUACAAAGUUACGAGAUGUCUUCUCGAGGGCAAAAGAAUCCCAGCUUGAGCACUACAUCAGUUUUAAGAUUUGUCUAUUCUGCUUUGUGAAAUUCUGAUUUUUCCUUGUUGGCCAUUUUACUUUGCUGUUUUGUGAUUCUGCACCACUUUGCUUUUUCUUUCUUUGCUUUGAGUUUCUACAGUAGUUAGUUAGUAUUUCGUCCAUAAGUUUUAGUAGUUUUCUUUAGGCUUUUAUAUUCCAGCACUUGAGUAGCGUCAAUUAUGUUAGUUUCCUUCCAUUCUGGUUUAUUUAAAUUCUGAUUAUUAGUUUUUAGUAGUGCAUCAUGGGUAAAUUUGCUAGUCUCCAUGCAUAUUUAGUUUUUGGCACCUGCAUCUGCAUAUUUUAGUUCUUUAUGAUUGAGCAGUCGCAUCAUCAUUUGAGAUCCACUGCUGCACUCUGGUUUCAUACAUUUUGGUAGCUAGUUUCGCCUGCAUUUUAGGAUUCACUCAGUCAUCACCAUUCUAGAUCAUGAUAGAGCGUGCAGGCAUUCAUAUUCUCCUGCUGUGAUUAGGCAAGUUUUCAUUGCAUCUGAACUAAUUCUGUUUUUGGUUGGCUGCGGUGAUUUAAUCUUGAAUCUGUCCAGAAAUUCAUGUGCCCCCUUGGAUGGAUUAUAUCUCUAGAGUUAGCUCUUAAUUUGGCAACUUUGCAUCAAAUUACAUGAAUUACAGAGGUACGUGUAAGCAUUGCUGCAGCUGAUUCCUUAUACAUCUGUGAAUUUGGAUUCAAGUGGCAUGUUUUGAAUGAUUUGCAGGUCUGAAUUCAUGUGAUCGGUAGUUUUGAUUAAAUAUUGCAUUGCAUAGCUAGUGAAACUGUCAUGAGUUUGCUUAUUUCAUUAGCAUUUCACUGCAACAGAUUCUGUGUAUGCAUAGGUGCUGAUUUUACAUGUGCAUUGCAUCAGGUUGGCUGUAAAAUCACAUUGCUGCAGGUCCCAUUCAUUCCUAGCAUUUUAACAUUGAGUUCAUUUAUUUUACUGCUGCAAGGCAUAAUUUUUCUGUUGCCAUAUGAGUUUUGGUUUAUAAUACUAAUUUUGGCCUGCAGUAGUAACCUAUCAUGCCAAUUCUGCACACACAUACUCAUUUAUAUAGACACAUUCUCAUUACAUUUCAAUCUAGUUUCUCAAUCCCAUUUAUCUUUGUCAUUCUGCAUUUCAAUUGCUGGUGGUUAUUUUCAAUAAGUGCAUUUCCAGCAUGUUAUUUUUCCUUGCACUUUGCAUAUGCCUCUGCAGUUUUUCUGCAUAAUGAAGCCAGUUGAACCUACACUAUGUAUUUGUUUCUGUUAACGUUCACUGCUGUCACAGAUUGGUUUAAUGGGGCAAUCUGGUUUCAUGCAUACUUCUAGAUAAUUCCAUCUGUGUUUGUAGUUCUGUUCUGUCAUCACCAAUUUAGUUCAUGAAAGAUCCAUGCAUCCACAUUCUGGUUUGGUUGUGACGCUGCUGAAUUGCCCCAAUUUAUUGAUAUCAUGUGCUGACUGAAAGAGACUUUCUAUACCACAUCAGCACCCAUUUAUGUUAGUGCUGCAAGGUUUUAUUUUCUGCUGCCAUUUACCACUUUUGUACCUGUGACAGCCUAGGAUACACUCAUUCACGCAUAUCAACUUGUCCUUAUGUCAAGCUCAUUUUGCAUUUAGUUUUAGCAUGAUUCAUGAUCCAUAAUCAUUUCUUAUUUGUGCAUAUUCACAUAGUGCUCAGAAUUCCUAUUUCACUUAGAUUUUUCCCCUCUUCUAGUUUAAAUUAAGUUCACUAUUCUCAUUAGGUUCCAAGCAUUCAUGCAUAUCAUUGUUUAGUCUUCAUCAUACAUUUAAUUUAGUUUUUAUUUAUACAUUAAAUUCUGCACUUUUCCUUAUUUUAAUUAAUUUUCCUCCUUUGUUUUAUUUUUAGCUUGUUUUAGAAAGAUUAAAUUGUGUAAGCUAGACUUAACACAUCGUUUUCUUGAAUUCGAUCCUGAGUUAUCUUUCCUACUACAUUAUAGGGAUAAUUUAGGUUUUGUCUACUCUAAGCGUGACUAAAACUGAGUUAACAAUGAUUUUUUAUUUGUAUUUCUUUCCGUGUAGAUAAUUGUUUGGAAGAUAUAUUGGUUAUGGCUGAAGAGAUCAAAACCCAAGGUAGAGAGUUUUUUAUCUUUUUGUUUCCAUCUCUGCAAAGAGAGUGUUGGUACUUUCAAUAAUUAAUACAGCACCACCCGAAACCUAAGGCAACAGGUCUGCCCUAUUUUGCGAAUGGUGUCUAAGGUGUGGCAAAUAAUCCAGGUUUUGGACCUUGAAACCAGGCCUGCCUCUUAAUGUCUACUAAUACCAAUUUGUUCCGCACAUUUAUAUUGGAUAGAUAUUAGCUUCUAGAAAAUGUUGUUAGUUAAAAAAGUAAAUUCUUCCAAUUUUCUUUGAUGUCAGUUGGAACCAUUUUUAUCGUCA
Molecule: RNA transcript, 8185 nt
Organism: Vigna unguiculata (cowpea)
Lineage: Eukaryota; Viridiplantae; Streptophyta; Magnoliopsida; Fabales; Fabaceae
Gene name: Tetratricopeptide repeat (TPR)-like superfamily protein
Source: RefSeq, a predicted model, not a curated record